Molecule: long non-coding RNA, 1334 nt
Organism: Bombyx mori (domestic silkworm)
Lineage: Eukaryota; Metazoa; Arthropoda; Insecta; Lepidoptera; Bombycidae
Exons: 2
Source: RefSeq, a predicted model, not a curated record
AAAAAAAAAAAAAAGGUAUACAUUAUAAUAACAUUUUGACACAGUCGAAAUUAUAUUCCUAACAUUAGUAAAAUAACAUUUUAAUAUUUUUUUUAUAGGUUAUGUAUUGAAAUUGUUGGAAAAUUAUUUCAUGUUUUAGCUGGAAAACGACAUGGAGAAUUAUAUGCAAUACAAGAUAAUGAGCUCCAUCAAAUGAAUUCGAAUGAAACCAAACUGUUUACCAUCCAAAUUCGAUUGUCGGGCAGAUAGAAAACGAAAAUUCACUCAUAGUGAACCUCGGCCUGCAUUUGUGAAACGGCAAAGACUCACUAUUAUCAAGGAAAUUGAAGAGACGACUAAAAAUGAGAUGUGUCGUAUUAUUAUACCUUUGCCAUCUUGUAGUCAAGAUGUCCAGCCACUUGAAAAUAGGUGUAGUAAUGACAAAGCCAUCCAAGUAGCUCCAGCACAGGAACACAAAGGCAAGGCAAGUGUGUAUUGCCACAUCACCCCUUAAUAUAUCUGAAGCAAGUAUAAGUAAACAAUCAGAACCAGCAAAAAAAAAAACUGUUGUUCCUGAGGACAAAUUUGACAGUGAUGAGUCAAAUGCACCAGCAACAGAAGGAUCAACUGUUGAUUAUGAGUUAUCUCUCUAUAUCUCCACUCCAUCAAAGACUUGUGCACUUCAGACUAUAGCUCUCAAGAAGACUAAAAAGUUAAAAAAAUGAAUGUGUUAACAACUUUAUCUAAAGUGAAAAAUAAACAACGUUUAUAUAUUGGUCUUCCGCAAGAAUUAUGUUUCAUAACAGGCUUGAUUGAGAAACAUACAAAUGUUUCUGAACAAAAUAUUAUAUUAUGUCUGAUGAGAAUAACAUUAAAUAGAACAUUCUCUCAAUUGGCUGAUGAUUUCGAUUUAUCUGUAAGUCAAGCAAGCAAUAUAUUUUUCAACAAACUCCCAGAAAUUGCAAAUGUAAUAUCACCCCUUGUUAGACUAUAAAAAAAACAAUACAAUAAAUAUAUAUGCAGGAAGGAUAAUUGAUGUCAACUUGGUGGAAAAUAGAAAGUUUUUAGAUAGUUUGCCACCUACAAAACUCUUUAAUUAAAUAAGUAAUCCUUACUUAUAAAUAGGAAGUUUUGUAAGUAUUUUCACUCUUCAUUCAAAAACUACUGAACAGAUUUUAAUAAGACUUUUAUGCUGGUCUUCUAUGGCUAGCAACUCAUUAUUAUUUUGAUUCUGUUUUCCACAAAUGUGCUAAAUAUGGGCUUAUAUAUAUGAAAAGGAAUAAAUAUUAAUGUUAUGUAACCUUUGUACCUGUAUGUUAAGAAUAAUUUUUAAUAAAACAUAAUUUAAAUUGAAA